UAAUACCAGCGGUUCGAGUCGCAGCCAUAUUUAUUGGGUCUAAAACAUCCGUAGCUUGCUUUGUAAGUCUCUUGUGAAAUUCCUUAUCUCAAGUAAGGAGCGAGCAGGAGAUACUGCAUCGCUAGAGACCGGAAGGCGUAAGGAGUGCGUAAGGGGUAUCGGUAAAAUGAGUUGAUCCUUUAUGGACUAACGAUAGCGAAGGCACCUUACGAGUACGGAUCUGACAGUAAGGGAUGAAGGCUAGGGUCGCGAAAAGGAUUAGAUACCCUUGUAGUCCUAGCAGUAAACACUGCACACUAAACAUCAGUACCUCCUCGAGAGGCAUUGGUGCUGCAGGGAAGCCGAAGAGUGUGCUACCUGGGAAGUAUAGUCGCAAGGCCG
RNAcentral lists this ribosomal RNA (381 nucleotides) under uncultured euryarchaeote. RNAcentral describes it as "bacterial SSU rRNA". It matches the Rfam family "Archaeal small subunit ribosomal RNA", at positions 471 to 851 of the family's 1478-position model. Lineage: Archaea; Methanobacteriati; Methanobacteriota. The record is from RNAcentral.